Molecule: transfer RNA, 67 nt
Filed under: Bathydorus laniger
Lineage: Eukaryota; Metazoa; Porifera; Hexactinellida; Lyssacinosida; Rossellidae
Description: tRNA-Ile
Source: RNAcentral
AGAAAAUAGUUUAAAUAAAAACUUUAUAUCGAUAAUAUAACAUUGUAAAUAAAAUUACUUUUCUAAU